Molecule: unclassified non-coding RNA, 217 nt
Filed under: Hevea brasiliensis (rubber tree)
Lineage: Eukaryota; Viridiplantae; Streptophyta; Magnoliopsida; Malpighiales; Euphorbiaceae
Source: RNAcentral
AGUAUUCUUGCUAAUAUCCCACAUCGGUUUGGAGAGGGCUUGGGCACUCCCCCUUUGAGCUAGCUUUCAGGGGUGAGCUAAGUCCAGGCUAUUUUCUUAAGAUGGUAUAGAGCAUAGUUUGGAUCGUGGAUUUCAACCGCCAAUAAGACUGAAAAAUUAAGCUCGUAUUGGGUUAAUAUUUACUAAUUAUCUAGUAAUAACCAUGUGGUUACACUUG